GCGGGCGUAGCUCAGUGGUAGAGCAGCAGGUUUCCAUCCUGCGUGCCGCGGGUUCGAUCCCCGCCGCCCGCU
This 72-nucleotide transfer RNA is filed under the name Actinomycetes bacterium. RNAcentral's name for it is "Actinobacteria bacterium tRNA-Gly". It matches the Rfam family "tRNA". Rfam says of the family: Transfer RNA (tRNA) molecules are approximately 80 nucleotides in length. Their secondary structure includes four short double-helical elements and three loops (D, anti-codon, and T loops). Further hydrogen bonds mediate the characteristic L-shaped molecular structure. tRNAs have two regions of fundamental functional importance: the anti-codon, which is responsible for specific mRNA codon recognition, and the 3' end, to which the tRNAs corresponding amino acid is attached (by aminoacyl-tRNA synthetases). tRNAs cope with the degeneracy of the genetic code in two manners: having more than one tRNA (with a specific anti-codon) for a particular amino acid; and 'wobble' base-pairing, i.e. permitting non-standard base-pairing at the 3rd anti-codon position. RNAcentral also lists the same sequence under 1 other name. Lineage: Bacteria; Bacillati; Actinomycetota; Actinomycetes. The record is from RNAcentral.